Molecule: long non-coding RNA, 1038 nt
Filed under: Sinocyclocheilus anshuiensis
Lineage: Eukaryota; Metazoa; Chordata; Actinopteri; Cypriniformes; Cyprinidae
Description: lncRNA (ENSSANG00000025380.1)
Source: RNAcentral
CGGUAGCGCUUGGGGUUGGCAACGGCUGGACUGUGACUGGGCAGGAAAUGGCAGAAGGAAGUGACGAGUCAGGAAGUGAGAUGGGAUUCGAAGAAGAUGGCGGGGGAGAUAGUAGUGUAUGGAAUGUAGUACGAUCGAGAAAACGGAAAAAAAAAGGAAAUGAAACAACGAAUAUGGAUGAAACUGAUAGUGAGCAAAGUGUUAUUGUAACAACAAGGCAGGAAGAAGAACAUAAAGUGAUCGUAAAAUUAUAUGAAGAAGGGACGACGUUUGGUGAGUGGAACCCGGUUAAAUUAACAAAAGCAAUAAAUAAAUUGCUGGGUGAGAUCAAAAAUGCUAAGGUAUUGAGGAACGGCUCACUGUUGAUUGUUUGUAGAAAUAAAGUGCAGCAAGAAAAAGCCUUACGACUGAAUAAAAUCGAUAGUAAGAGAGUGCAGUGUUCGGUAUUUGAGUACAAAAAAUUGAUUCGAGGAGUCAUUUCAGGGAUACCUACAGACAUUUCAGAAGAACAAAUGAAAGAUAAUAUGACAGGGGCAAAAGUUUUGGAAGUAAAACGCCUUACAACAACUAGAAAUGGAGAGAAAUGCAACAGCUUGUCUGUUAUGAUUAAGUUUGAUGAAUCAAAACUUCCUGGCAAGGUGUACAUCGGAUACAUGAGCUAUGAGGUCAGGCCAUAUAUUCCUCCACCACUGAGGUGCUUUAAGUGCCAGAAAUAUGGUCAUGUAGCAGCAAUAUGUAAGGGCAAACAAAGAUGUGGCAGAUGUGCAGGUGAACAUGAGUACGGAAAGUGUGGAGAGGGAGUAGAGCUUAAGUGCUGUAACUGUGGAGGACAGCAAAGCUCGGCUUACCGCGGAUGCGAAGCCAGCAAGAGGGCAGUGGAGGUGCAACGAAUGAAGGCAUUACAAGGAAUAACAUAUGCAGAAGCAGUAAAGAAAGUGUCUAGAGAAAAGAUUGUUUAUAAACCAGCAAAUAAUGAAACUAAAGAAGCAAACAAUGAAACUAAAUAUAGACCUUGCAGGAGCUGUGAAAAGAUUAUGG